Molecule: non-coding RNA, 72 nt
Organism: Sitodiplosis mosellana (orange wheat blossom midge)
Lineage: Eukaryota; Metazoa; Arthropoda; Insecta; Diptera; Cecidomyiidae
Source: the annotation of a RefSeq genome assembly
GGCUCAAUGGUCUAGUGGUAUGAUUCUCGCUUCGGGUGCGAGAGGUCAGGAGUUCGAUUCUCCUUUGAGCCC